This 517-nucleotide ribosomal RNA is filed under the name Amitermes desertorum. RNAcentral describes it as "partial 16S ribosomal RNA". It matches the Rfam family "Bacterial large subunit ribosomal RNA", at positions 1831 to 2597 of the family's 2925-position model. The record is from RNAcentral. Lineage: Eukaryota; Metazoa; Arthropoda; Insecta; Blattodea; Termitidae.
CUUUUCUUGUUAGUUUUUGAAGUAUGGCCUGCCCACUGACUUGUUGUUGAAGGGCCGCGGUAUUUUGACCGUGCAAAGGUAGCAUAAUCAUUAGUUCUUUAAUUGUGAUCUGGUAUGAAUGGCUUGACGAGACAUAAGCUGUCUUAGGGGUAUUAUUUAUUGAAUUUGGUUUUUGAGUUAAAAUUCUUAGAUGUUUUUAUGGGACGAGAAAACCCUAUAGAGUUUGACAUUUUUCUUGCUGUAUUCGGGUUGUUUGUUAUUUAUUGUUUAGUAGGAUUAAGUGUUUUGUUGGGGUGAUGGGAGGAAUUUUUUAAACUCCUCUUUGAUUUUAUAUAUUUAUUUAUAUUAUUUUGAUCCAUUUAUUUUGAUUAUAAGAUUAAAUUACCUUAGGGAUAACAGCGUUAUCUUCCUUGAGAGUUCUUAUUGGCAGGGGGGUUUGCGACCUCGAUGUUGGAUUAAGGUGAAUUUUCGGUGCAGGAGCUGAAGUUGAUUAGGUCUGUUCGACCUUUAAAAUCUU